AAGCAUAUCAAUAAGCGGAGGAAAAGAAACCAACAGGGAUUGCCUCAGUAACGGCGAGUGAAGCGGCAAAAGCUCAAAUUUGAAAUCUAGCACUUUCAGUGUUCGAGUUGUAAUUUGAAGAAGGUAACUUUGGUUUUGGCUCUUGUCUAUGUUCCUUGGAACAGGACGUCACAGAGGGUGAGAAUCCCGUGCGAUGAGAUGCCCAAUUCCAUGUAAAGUGCUUUCGAAGAGUCGAGUUGUUUGGGAAUGCAGCUCUAAGUGGGUGGUAAAUUCCAUCUAAAGCUAAAUAUUGGCGAGAGACCGAUAGCGAACAAGUACAGUGAUGGAAAGAUGAAAAGAACUUUGAAAAGAGAGUGAAAAAGUACGUGAAAUUGUUGAAAGGGAAGGGCUUGAGAUCAGACUUGGUAUUUUGCGUUCCCUUCCUUUUUGGUUGGGUUCCUCGCAGUUUACUGGGCCAGCAUCGGUUUGGAUGGUAGGAUAAUGACAUUGGAAUGUAGCUUUACUUCGGUGAAGUGUUAUAGACUUUGUUGAUACUGCCUAUCUAGACCGAGGACUGCGUCUUUGACUAGGAUGCUGGCGUAAUGAUCUUAAGCCGCCC
Molecule: ribosomal RNA, 598 nt
Filed under: Dujonia zeylanoides
Lineage: Eukaryota; Fungi; Ascomycota; Pichiomycetes; Serinales; Debaryomycetaceae
Description: LSU rRNA
Rfam family: Eukaryotic large subunit ribosomal RNA
Source: RNAcentral